Molecule: long non-coding RNA, 322 nt
Organism: Saccostrea cuccullata (small rock oyster)
Lineage: Eukaryota; Metazoa; Mollusca; Bivalvia; Ostreida; Ostreidae
Exons: 3
Source: RefSeq, a predicted model, not a curated record
CUGGGAGAUGUUAUGAGGACAAUCCUACAAAACUAUAACGGCACAGGUGCAAUAUCAGUGAAGACAAUUGAGGAAGUGGUCUCUACUUUCCUGAAGAAAAAAGCCAACCAUAAAAGAGAUGAAGAUGAUAACAUGCCGAAUUAUCUCAACAUCAAAUUCGGUGGCUUUGGAAAAUAAUUUGCAGAAAGUGCACCACAUGUUGUAACUCAAAUUCUGCAAUAAAUUUCGUGGGAAAGGCAGCUACUUUUGUAUAUAUGUACAUAAUGAACUCUAUUUAUGUAAUAAAGUACAAAUACUGGUAAAAUAUGAAAAAAGAUUAAGU